GAUGAACGCUAGCGGCAGGCCUAACACAUGCAAGUCGAGGGGCAGCAUAGAUUGCUUGCAAUCUGAUGGCGACCGGCGAACGGGUGCGUAACGCGUAUGCAACCUACCUCUAACAGAGGGAUAGCCCGAAGAAAUUCGGAUUAAUACCUCAUAACAUUGUGAAUUGGCAUCAAUUUAUAAUUAAAACUCCGGUGGUUAGAGAUGGGCAUGCGUGACAUUAGCUAGAUGGUAAGGUAACGGCUUACCAUGGCAACGAUGUCUAGGGGGUCUGAGAGGAUGAUCCCCCACACUGGUACUGAGACACGGACCAG
This 311-nucleotide ribosomal RNA is filed under the name uncultured bacterium. RNAcentral describes it as "bacterial SSU rRNA". It matches the Rfam family "Bacterial small subunit ribosomal RNA", at positions 28 to 334 of the family's 1533-position model. The record is from RNAcentral.